This 1925-nucleotide long non-coding RNA is filed under the name Medicago truncatula (barrel medic). RNAcentral's name for it is "long non-coding RNA (MTRU_LNC003705)". The record is from RNAcentral. Lineage: Eukaryota; Viridiplantae; Streptophyta; Magnoliopsida; Fabales; Fabaceae.
UGAUAUUUCCAUCUACAAAUGUAAAUGGAUAUUCAUGACACGAAUAAUAUGAUAUAUAUGUUUGUCUUGUUGGAUAAGUUCAUAUAUGUGUGUAUUUACUAAGCAGGUAAGAUAAUCCAAAGAUUUUGAACUGUCCACGAGUAUAUCAUCGUAUCUAUGAUAUUUUUGUUAAAAUGAAUUUUGAUUAAAAAAACUUGUUUUUAUAAUUUACUAAAAUGCAACAACAAAAGUUCAUCACAUUCAUGUCGUAGCAACAAAAGUUCAUCACAUUCAAGAUUAUUCCAUUUCUUCAUGUUUGUGUUUCCUUCUUUCUAUUGAUUUUUAUUUUUUAAUUGUUUUACCGUUGGUAGCAUAUGUUGAAUCAAAUCAAAUUUAAAUUUUUUAAAUGUUCAAAGUUAGUACCAAUUCCACACGUUUCAAUCUUCUUAUUCUACUUCAUCGUCUUUUUUUUAUUCUUUAUUUCCUCAUUCUUGUAUCAUCCCUAGAGUGCUCGCAAGGCAGAACCAUCAAAUUCACAAUUUUUUACCUUUCAAGAACAAAUAUUUCGCUAUAUUCUUUCCCAGUUUGCUUUGAUGGUAAGCACCCGCGCUAUUCAUCAAAAUAUCUGUUUUAUACUGCUAUUUUUUCUAGAGAAUUGUUGUUCCCACAAUUGAUAAGGCCGUGCCACACUAGUAAAAUAUGAUUUUGCCCCCUCGGCAGUUAACUGCUGAAGAAUUUGAAAUCCGGCUGCAGUUAACUGCCGAAGAAAACCUCGGUAGUUAUCUGCCGAGGAAAAUGUUAUAAGAACAUAACAAACAUAGGAGUUUCCAAAACUCCAUUGUUACGUUUUUUGAUCUCCAAUGUGCGAUUUUGAGCUAUUUCAAGACAUUCCAAGCCAAUUUCAAUCACAAAAACAAGUAAGUUUUUUUUAAUCUUAUUGCAUUGUUGUUUUGCGGUUGAAUUAUUUGUUUUUUUUUGUUAAAUUUCGAUUAUAUAGGUUCGAUUAUAUAUAUUUUAUUGAUUUUAUGAUUUUAUGAUAUGUUAGGAUAGUUUAGGUUAGAAUUGUUAGAGAACUUUUAUUGAAUUGUUAGGUUUAGAUUUUGAUGAAUCGUUGUAGAACUGUUUAGGUUUAGGUGUAGGUUUUGAUGAUAGUUUAAGUUUUGGUUUAGUUUUUGAUUUUAUGAUUUUAUGGCAUUGUUGUUUAGUUAGGUUUUGAUCGCCAUUUGUUUUUAAUGUAGAUAUGUCUCAGAAUCAGAAUCAGGGUAACGUUCAGGGUGAUGACAUGACAUUGGUGUUUUCAUGACAUUGAUUUGUAUAUUUGUACUUUGAUGACAUUACUUUUAAUUCCAUGAGAUUUUUUACUGUUUAAUGUAUAAAAAUAUUGGUUUAAUUAAGUUGUGCAUUUGCGCCAAUAUUUUUUUGUGAUUUGAACCGUUAUGAUGAAUUUCAAACGUUUGUGUAAUUUGAAUCAAAUGUCGGUUUAAUUUAAUUAUGGACAAUUGUAAAAAAAUUGUAUUUUUCUUGUUUAUGUCCAAGUUUCAAUGUUGUAUGAAUUAUUUUGCCUUUCGAAAUGCUCUGCUUUAAUUACAGGUAAAAACUGGCCGAAAAAUGGCUUGAAAAUGUUUUAGAAAGAAUCAUGCAGAGCUCACUGUCUGCUUGUUUUCCUCAGCAGUUAACUUCCGAAGUUUUCAUCGGCAGUUAACUGCAGCUAGAUUUCUAAUUCCUCAGCAGUUAACUGUCGAGGGGGCAAAAAAGUAAAUUACUCGUGUGUCACAGUCUUAUCAAAUGUGGGAACAACAAUUCUCAUUUUUCUAUAGGUUGCUAAUCGCUUUUGAUCAUUUGUCUUGUUUUCACUAGAAAUAUUUCAUUAAAUUGUUGAAUUUUCAAUGUCGCAAGACACUUCACAAAUCAAGAAGUUAGCAAAGAAGAUGAGAAUUCAUAACACU